AGGGUUAGGUUGAAUGUGUCAGCCAAUGGGCAUUGGAGGGUUGCCUCACCCUCGGACGGGCGAAACUGACAGCACUUUAGAACUAUCCAAACCACUGGG
Molecule: long non-coding RNA, 99 nt
Organism: Ochotona curzoniae (black-lipped pika)
Lineage: Eukaryota; Metazoa; Chordata; Mammalia; Lagomorpha; Ochotonidae
Exons: 4
Source: RefSeq, a predicted model, not a curated record